Molecule: ribosomal RNA, 433 nt
Filed under: uncultured bacterium
Lineage: Bacteria
Description: partial 16S ribosomal RNA
Rfam family: Bacterial small subunit ribosomal RNA
Source: RNAcentral
AACGAACGCUGGCGGCAUGCCUAACACAUGCAAGUCGAACGAAGGCUUCGGCCUUAGUGGCGCACGGGUGCGUAACGCGUGGGAAUCUGCCCUUUGGUUCGGAAUAACAGCUGGAAACGGCUGCUAAUACCGGAUGAUGACGAAAGUCCAAAGAUUUAUCGCCAGAGGAUGAGCCCGCGUUGGAUUAGGUAGUUGGUGGGGUAAAGGCCUACCAAGCCGACGAUCCAUAGCUGGUCUGAGAGGAUGAUCAGCCACACUGGGACUGAGACACGGCCCAGAAUCCUACGGGAGGCAGCAGUGGGGAAUAUUGGACAAUGGGCGCGAGCCUGAUCCAGCAAUGCCGCGUGAGUGAUGAAGGCCCUAGGGUUGUAAAGCUCUUUUACCCGGGAAGAUAAUGACUGUACCGGGAGAAUAAGCCCCGGCUAACUCCGUG